Molecule: long non-coding RNA, 211 nt
Filed under: Homo sapiens (human)
Lineage: Eukaryota; Metazoa; Chordata; Mammalia; Primates; Hominidae
Description: non-protein coding lnc-ABLIM1-1:1
Source: RNAcentral
CCGAUUUGGAAGACUCGUUAAGAAAACAGUGUUCUUUAAGCAAACAUUGGCAAUGGAUUUAAAUGCUCAGAUUUUGAAGAAAUCAACGACUGCAGGUGAAAUGGCUUUGCUAACUUUAAAAUAUAUUAUUAUUCAACAUUGAAACAGGAAAUCCCACAUGAGCACAUGAUAAAUACGACCUUAAUUUUCUACGUACUACCCCCAGAAUGCU